RNAcentral lists this ribosomal RNA (253 nucleotides) under uncultured bacterium. RNAcentral's name for it is "partial 16S ribosomal RNA". It matches the Rfam family "Bacterial small subunit ribosomal RNA", at positions 524 to 776 of the family's 1533-position model. The record is from RNAcentral.
GACGAGCAUCACAAACGUUAUUCGGAAUUACUGGGCUUAAAGGGUGCGUAGGCGGUGUAGCAAGUCGGGAGUGAAAUCCCACAGCUCAACUGUGGAAUUGCUUUCGAUACUGCUGUGCUUGAGUGAGAUAGAGGUAAGCGGAACUUAGGGUGGAGCGGUGAAAUGCGUUGAUAUCCUAAGGAACACCGGUGGCGAAGGCGGCUUACUGGGUCUCUACUGACGCUGAUGCACGAAAGCCAGAGUAGCGAACGGG